CAGCAGCCGCGGGAAUACGAAGGGUGCAAGCGUUACUCGGAAUUACUGGGCGUAAAGCGUGCGUAGGUGGUGGUUUAAGUCCGUUGUGAAAGCCCUGGGCUCAACCUGGGAAUUGCAGUGGAUACUGGGUCACUAGAGUGUGGUAGAGGAUAGUGGAAUUUCCGGUGUAGCAGUGAAAUGCGUAGAGAUCGGAAGGAACACCUGUGGCGAAGGCGACUAUCUGGGCCAACACUGACACUGAGGCACGAAAGCGUGGGGAGCAAACAGGAUUAGAUACCCCUGUAGUCCCUGUCUCUUAUAU
RNAcentral lists this ribosomal RNA (301 nucleotides) under uncultured bacterium. RNAcentral's name for it is "partial 16S ribosomal RNA". It matches the Rfam family "Bacterial small subunit ribosomal RNA", at positions 509 to 809 of the family's 1533-position model. The record is from RNAcentral.